AGCUGUACUAAUAGUUCUCUUGUGUGGCUGUUCUCCAGCUUCUUCAUAUGGGCACUUAGUGCUCUGAACUUCCCCCGUAGCACUGCUUUCAAAGUGUCCCAUAGGUUUGGGGACAUGGAAGAAGACUAUUUCAGAAGUCAAGUAAAGUCACAUUUGAAGAGAAAAUGUCCACUCAAGAAAGAGUGACACCUGGAGAUCUGGGGGACAGGAACAGGAAAGCAACAGCUACCAAGUUUGAAAACCAAUGACCUGACAAUCUGUGACAGAAACUACUACUUAAAUAUUUGAGAGGCAAUGUCUCUCUUUGAAGAGGAAAUGUGUUUUCUGUAUGUAGCAGAAGAUACAACCAGCAGCAUAUGUGCCUCAACCUGCCACGAUCCCUGUCAUGUUCUCCACCAUGAUGGCAAUGGACUGAAACUCUAAAAUUGAGACAAGAGAUGAUAGACUAUGGACAUUUGAAGAGGCAGUAAUUAUUUUA
Mesocricetus auratus (golden hamster) is the source of this 478-nucleotide long non-coding RNA. RefSeq lists it as uncharacterized. The transcript has 5 exons. NCBI's taxonomy places the organism in Eukaryota, Metazoa, Chordata, Mammalia, Rodentia, Cricetidae. The record is from RefSeq and is a predicted model, not a curated record.